Molecule: RNA transcript, 2528 nt
Organism: Triticum dicoccoides
Lineage: Eukaryota; Viridiplantae; Streptophyta; Magnoliopsida; Poales; Poaceae
Exons: 2
Source: RefSeq, a predicted model, not a curated record
CGCCUCAGUCUGUCUUGUCUCUCUCUCUUAUCCUUUCCCCAACCACACCUCUGCUCACUUUGCUGCGCAUUCUCGCCGCCGUCGCCAACAUCGACCGCAGAUCAGCUCCCGCCCGACCACCGCCUCCGCCGCGCGCAUCGACGGCGACCGCGGGACGAGGAGCCACGCAGUUCCCUCGACGCCCUCGCGUGGGGAGCAUGGCAAGCCUGCGGCAGGGCCUCGGGGAGGAGCAUGGCAAGUUCCGGCGGCGGCUGGGCGAUGAGGAGGUGCGGCCACCACCUAUCCACCUGGUGCACCGCCGAUGCCGUCGGAGUUGGUGUUUGGUGCGGGCAGAGAGGAGCGGUGAGAGGGAGAUGGGGGGAGAGGCGGUGGGCGACGCAGGGGGAGGGCGGAUCCGACGAGGCACGCGGACCACCCUGAUGCGCCUUCGGCUUCCAUGCCGGAGCCAGCCGCCCCGUUCCCCGCGACGGCCAUGAGCGCCAAGCUCCUCAAAGCUACAGGCAUGGCGUGGCGGCUACCGCACCGCCGGGGAGGAGAUGCAAGCCACCGCGUUGCCGCAAGGACGAGGUACCGGCCACCGUGCCGCCGGCGUGGAGAAGGGGUAGGCACGGCACCCGUUCUAGAGAAGUGGAGUGUGUUCUACAGGCUUACAUCUCGCUGCGCGUUCUACAAAUUGUGCAGCUCCUUUGUGAGCUGCAGGAGAGGAAAGCGCUGGGUGCUCCCGUCGUCGCACACGGCCGCUGAGGAGAGCCGGCGGCUAUGCAGGACGUCGAGUGGCAGUGGCAGUCACUCCCGCUUCUGCUACGAGUGUGUCAACGGUGUCGUCAGCCAUCGACCCCUCCAUUUCGGGCUUGCUCGAGGUACAAGAUGCAUCCGUCAAUCUCAUCGCUACGAAAUUUGUUGAAGCUGCAAGUCUGAUUAAUCAAUCCAUUCCACCGAUGUUGUUUCAGUAUUUGCCAUGCUUUUGUUUUAAUUGUGUUUUGCACUGACAGUGAGUACAAGUAGUAGAAUAGAGUGUCAAGCAUAUCAGACAUACAUAACCUGGUCCCAUGUUGAUUCAAUCAAAUCUAAUCAAUGAAAAAAAUAGCGCGCUACAAAAAAUAACGUGAUCCCUGAAAAUAUGCUAUUAGCUUGCUAUAGCGCGCUAUAGCGUGCUAUUAGCGAGGCACUAUACAUUGAUUUAUUUAGCGAGACAAUUCUCUAUAUGUUAUAGCGUGCUAUUAGCGGCGUUAUAGCGCGCUAUUUUUUUCAGUGAAUCUAAUUGAUCGUUUGAGACAAUCUCUAUUUUGGUUCAGUAUUGUCAUGUUCAUUUUACUGUCGGAGUGAUCCAUCGAGUCCAUGCAUGCAUUUUUGGUUGAUUGGUUCAGUACAUGUGGCCAUGCAAUUGAAGAAGAAACAGUCUACAAUCAUUGAUCGAGCAUACUAUGGGCAAACAUUUUUUAUUGCCAUGCCAAUUUAAAAAAUUUAUUUGAAAUGGCGAAUUACUUCUAUUGCCAAGACGAAGGCAAUUUUUUCGGCAAAUAAAAAUUGGAAAUUUUAGUUCAGGAAUCAUGGCGAAUUUCUAAAUUUAACCAUGGCAACUCUAUUUUCAUUUGACCAUGGCAAAUUUUGUUCAGAGAUCAUGGCAAGUUUCAAUUUCUCAUUAAGUAACCAUGGCAACCUUUUUUCAUUUAAAUUUGAUCUUGGUAAGUUUAGAAAUUGAUCAUGGCAAUUUUAGUUCGUAGAUAAUGGCAUUUUUUAGUUUCAUGUAUUUCGCUUGGCAACAUUUUUUUAGCCAGGACGAUGGCAAUUUUUAGUAAAUGACCAUGGGAAAUUAAGUUUAUGAUGCAUGGUAAAUUUAAUUAUUUAAACAUGGCAAAAGAAUAUUUAGUAAAUCACGAUGGCAAUUUUUCUGAAUGUUAAGUACAUCCACAACUUCUGUCACGCCCUUGUUUGGCAAAUUUUACUCCAUUUUUUGCCAUGGCAAAAAUACCUUUAUUCACACGGCAAAUUUUAGUUUAAGUUUCCAUGGCAAUUUUUUUUUGUUUAAGUUUCCAUGGCAAACUAAUUGUAAAGAGCAUGGAAAUUUUGUUUUAAAUAUGAUGGCAAAUCUACAUUUCCAGAACAUGGCAAAUUUAACUAUGUAGCACGGCAAGUAUACUUGCAUAGCCAUGUCAGUUUUUUAAUUUAUUUGCCAUGGCAAAAGUACUCCAUUUUUUGCCAUGGCAAUUUUUUACUCCAUUUUUGUCAUGGCAAAUUUAACUCAUUUUUUGCCAUGGAAAAAAUACUUUUAUUUUUCACAUGGCAAAUUUUAGUUUUAGUUGCCAUUGGAAAUUUUAUUUUUAGUUGCCAUGGGAAAUUUAUUGUAAAGAGCAUGGAAAAUUAAUUUAAAUAUUAUGGCAAAUUUACAUUUGUAGAACAUGGCAAGUUUUACUAUGUAGCAUCUUAAAUAUAUUUGUGUAGCCAUGGUAUUUUUUAAUUUAUUUUCCAUGGCAAAAGUACUACAUUUUGCCAUGGCAAAAAUUAAACCAUUUUUGCUAUGACAAAUU